Molecule: unclassified non-coding RNA, 1582 nt
Filed under: Hevea brasiliensis (rubber tree)
Lineage: Eukaryota; Viridiplantae; Streptophyta; Magnoliopsida; Malpighiales; Euphorbiaceae
Source: RNAcentral
GGGUAACACGAUAUAUUAGAAAAUGAUACAAUACAAUCCUCACUCAUAUUUACUGAAAUUAUUUUUUAUACAUUUUUCAAGUAACAUGGAACAUAUUUAUAACAGAAAAUAACAAAAUUCCAUUAAACAAUCAGGUUGCUUUUUUUCUUUCCCCCAACAAAUUUGAUUGUUCACACAGAAUUCAAAUUUGUCUCAUGUAAAUUAUUGACGAAAGAAACUAGCAUUUCAACAAUCUAAUCUAAUCGAAAAGCUUUGAGGAGCUAUCCUUUCACCUUAAAAGACCCGAGUAGCAGCAGCACAACAGCAGGUCCCUAUGAUGGUUAAGGAAUACAUAAAUUAAUUUAGAAGCAAAUUGGGUAACCACCUUUCGUGUAAUAGCCUUGCAAUCAGAGAAAGUGUGUUCAAACCACAUGGCCGAGUUAAGUAGAAAGCUAGCAGAGUCGUCUUAAAGCCGCUGCCGUUUUGUGACACUACCAUGCUGCCGACAAUGGUGAUGGUUUUGCACAGUCGAGCAACAUAUAUCAGGCACAAAUUCCCCAUUAUCAGAUUGAUUAUGAACGCGUUUUGGCCAAUAUAGCCCCGAGGCUGUAGGUGGAGAAGGGAUCUGUGGCACUGCCCAGGAGCUGUCAGGCACCUGACCCAGGCACUCAUCAUCAUCAUCUACUUCUUCCUCGGCUGAUCUUAAGAUUGCAGAGCUGUCAGAGUCACUACGCUUGCCGCUAUCAGCCUUAGAUGAUCCAUUAUUCAUGUAGCUAUAGUUUUGACUAAAGCCAGUUAAGCCAAGAAAUUCAUCCAUCUGCCACUGUGGGAUGCCUCCAGCUGCAGAACCACCAGAGAAUGAUACUUUAACAGGUUCAAACUCCUGUCCAACAACCUGUGCAGGCAAAACUUCAUUGCUCGGACUAGCCAAUGGCAUUGGAGUUCCUCUUCUAGAAACAUAAUGGGAUUUUGUUUCAGAUGUUUUUUCACCCGAAGGUGACUUCCCCGAAGAAGAGGAUGCACCAGGGUCAGUAGGUUCUAGACCAACUUUUACUCCGGUUAAAAGAAAUCUCUGAUGAGCAGACACAUAGGCAUUUGCAGUGUGAAUAGCAACAUCACAUUUUCUGCAGAGCAAAGCUCGAUCUUCUAGACAAAAGAAAAAGCCAGCUGUCUCCUGUAUCAAAAGAGUGAUUUGCAUCAUCACUUGUCAAUCCACAAAGAGAAAGUUCAACAGAUCAUACACCAAUAGACUCAAGAUGGUUCAGGCAAUAACAACAUUUCUAUGGGCAUAUACGCUGACAACUGCACUAGCAAGGCAUAGCUAAAUACUCUAGCCAGCUUCGUUGUAAGCUGAUACUUUCUCCAACAUCGUUAAGUUACAUCUUGUUGAAGCCAAUGUUAUUGAAGCAACUAUAAUUUACCACUAAGUGCCCUGGAAAAGAAAAUAUAAUUUCUCUCUGGCAAUAGAAGUAAAGAAAUAUGACUUCACUAUUUUGUUUAUUUAUUUUAAUUUUGAGGGGGUGGGGAGUGAUGCUGAAUUAUGAAGACGUUAAAUUAAAUUUUCCUUCACUUUUAUGAUAAAUUAAAUUUUCCUUCACUUUUA